This 328-nucleotide unclassified non-coding RNA is filed under the name soil metagenome. Its description in RNAcentral is "partial contains 5.8S ribosomal RNA, internal transcribed spacer 2, and large subunit ribosomal RNA". The stretch from base 1 to 120 matches the Rfam family "5.8S ribosomal RNA", at positions 35 to 154 of the family's 154-position model. The record is from RNAcentral.
GAUGAAGAACGUAGCGAAAUGCGAUAAGUAAUGUGAAUUGCAGAAUUCAGUGAAUCAUCGAAUCUUUGAACGCGCAUUGCGCCCCUUGGUAUUCCGAGGGGCAUGCCUGUUCGAGCGUCAUUAUAACCCUUCAAGCUCAGCUUGGUGUUGGGGCCUGCUGUAACUGGUAGCCCUUAAAAUCAGUGGCAGUGCUAUUAGGCUCUAAGCGUAGUAAUUCUUCUCGCUAUAGUGUGUAGUGAGCGCUUGCCAGAACCCCAAACUUUUAUAUGAUUGACCUCGGAUCAGGUAGGGAUACCCGCUGAACUUAAGCAUAUCAAUAAGCGGAGGA